Molecule: ribosomal RNA, 375 nt
Filed under: uncultured Gammaproteobacteria bacterium
Lineage: Bacteria; Pseudomonadati; Pseudomonadota; Gammaproteobacteria
Description: bacterial SSU rRNA
Rfam family: Bacterial small subunit ribosomal RNA
Source: RNAcentral
GAAUAUUGGACAAUGGGCGCAAGCCUGAUCCAGCCAUGCCGCGUGUGUGAAGAAGGCCUUCGGGUUGUAAAGCCCUUUAGGUGGGGAGGAAGGGCAGUAGRUUAAUACUCUGYUGUUUUGACGUUACCCACAGAAUAAGCACCGGCUAACUUCGUGCCAGCAGCCGCGGUAAUACGGAGGGUGCAAGCGUUAAUCGGAAUUACUGGGCGUAAAGCGCGCGUAGGUGGUUUGUUAAGUCAGAUGUGAAAUCCCCGGGCUCAACCUGGGAACUGCAUUCGAAACUGGCAAGCUAGAGUGUGGUAGAGGGGGGUGGAAUUCCCGGUGUAGCGGUGAAAUGCGUAGAGAUCGGGAGGAACACCCGUGGCGAAGGCGGCC